Molecule: long non-coding RNA, 3512 nt
Organism: Talpa occidentalis (Iberian mole)
Lineage: Eukaryota; Metazoa; Chordata; Mammalia; Eulipotyphla; Talpidae
Exons: 5
Source: RefSeq, a predicted model, not a curated record
CGCCGUCGCGGUUCUCUUUGUGCGGUGAGCCGGUGGGUGUGUGUCCCGCGGCUCUGCCAUGUGCCUGCCGGCCGCUGGGGCCCCUUCCCCUAAACGCGAGGGGAAGAUGGCGGCCUCCCCAGCUCCCUGCGCCGUCUUCGCUCAUUUGCCGCUGUGCAGGUGCCUGACCCACGCGCGCGGAUCCGUCGCACCACGAGGGUGAGUGGACUGUGCAGACGAGUGGCCGGCGGUCGCCCUGGGGGAGCGUGAAGGUGUUUAAGAAGACCACCAGUGUGGGAUACUUGAAUAAAGCAUGAGCGCCAUGGACAGAGUCCAUUCACAGAGAUCUGGCGCUAAGCUGAUGACUAAAGCCUCAGGUUUGGAAUAGACCGUUUCGGAGAAGUGCUGCUGAUGUGUCUGUCUUGCCUAAGGUUCCUGUCUAGGUACUGUGACGAAGUGAACAGCCAUGCCCCUAUUGUAACUCCUGUGGAUUUUGCUGACACAAAGAAUAUCCUCUAUUUGAUGUGGGGCAGACCCUUGGAACUUGCAUCUUUCCUGCAUUUUGUGAGCAGCUGUCAGAUUUGGGCACUUAAAGAUCAAGUAGACAGUUUUCACUUAUCUUAAGUACUUUGUUGUAUCUAAAGGAUUUCAAUAAAAUAUUUUAAGGUGAAAAUUUGGUCUGGCUGAAAGGGUACAAAAAGGGGUAGGGGGAGGUGAAGGGUUAACCAACGAUGAAUAAGCAUCGCAUUUGACAUAGGUGUACUUUAUGGCUGUGGACAAAAAUGUAAAAUUAGAUUGUUGCACAUUGAUAUGAAUGUUAGAGAUUUCCAAAUUUAUAUAAUAUGCAAUGUGCUAGAUGUUACUGAAAUAGUCAUCACUGAUUUGGAUAGAUCCAACCCUUAUUCUGACCUGUGACCAUUUAACAAUAGAAUGUGUUUACUUUUGAUCAUUUUCCUUUGUCUCCUGAAUUACUCAAUCCUCUGUCUUCAAAGGGCUGGAGAGACAUUAAAACUUGAAAUGUAAUUCAAGGGAUGUCAAAUCCUUGGCUGUGGUUUAACCUUAGGUCUCCUCACUCACAGUAGGGUCCUCCUAAUUAGUCUUAUGGCCCUAAUGGUAGGGCCUUGUCUGUUAAGACAUUCAACAACUGCGCAUAAAACUGUUUUACAUGGUUUUUAACCUGUCCCCAAACCUGUUUCUCCUUCAGCAUGAUACAAUUUCACUCUAUACCCAUAGGUAGAAACUAUCUUCAGGUUCAGUGGGGAAGUAGCUACGGGAGUUGUAAUGAGAUAGGAAGCUCCAUGAAAAUGUUGCUGUUUCACAGGCUAAGUUGGUUAAACCAAGGGUCAAAACAAUUGCCUUAUAUUUCUGAUAGUUUUUAGUUUAUCCCCAGCUUGUACAUACCAGAGCUAUUUCUUUAUAGUUUAUCAAUCCAUUGGUUAUUGCAAAAAAAUACAGACCCAGAGGCCAAAGGAAUUCAAACCAGGGCUAAGGGUAUACACAGCACAUAACCCUGAAAAUCCUGUACUACCAGGUUGCAGAUAAUUGGCGCUCACAAUUAUUAGCAACAAUAAAUUGGAUGAGCAAAUUUCACUUGGGCCAAGUAUAUUUCUUGCGUUCAUAGCCAGUAAGGUUUAUAUUUCCUUUGUUCUCAAACCCAAACUCUGACAAUUCAGCCUUUCAUGUCCAGAGAAGUCACUUGUAUUUGCUCUUCUCAUCAUCUUUCACUCACCCAGUGUCUGGAGAGUCUUCUCAGUCUUGACCAGAGCUUCUCCUGUGCAUGGAGAAGGCAGCCCCAUCUAUACUUCUGAUUCCCAGCAGGUGGGGCAGUGGAUAGGCUGGCCUUUGUGGUUUACCGGUGACCAGAGUCACUGCUGUGGUGGUUUGGAAGGUGAUAGAGAGGGGAAUGAGUUUUAUGCUUAAUGAGUCUAGUUAACAAUUUUACAAGACGAAAAAGUUGAUUGUUGUGUAAUAUUAUAACACUGUUGAAUCUUUAAAAAAAAUUAAGGCAGUAAAUUUUGUGGAUUUCACAAUAAAAUUUUGAGAAAAACAUGUAUGUUCCUUUGUGUCAUUUUUCUCCAAAGAUACUUCCUAACAGUGUACCUUUAUGAUGCUGUAAGGCUGUACUGUAAAUUACCCAGUGUCUGAUGGGAGCAUUUAGGAUCAUGUCAUCCGGUCAUUGCUGGUUCCCCUUUAUAUGCAUCCAUUUGAAGAAGCAAACACUUCAAGGUAGAAGAUCAGAGUUGAGGGCUUUGGACGUUCACAGCAUGAUAUACUAUGUGUUUUGUAAGAUUUUAUAUUGAUACCACUCCAGGUGGUCGUACUUCCCAGUCGAAUCUACUGAAAUAUGCUGCUGACGGGAGCAGUGGGUAAGACAGGAGAGGUCUGCUGUGCCAUGUAGGUCAGUCCCUGGCCAGGGUGGAAGUCAUGGAGGAGAGGCUGAUGAUAGCUUGAUAGGGCUGACGUGAAGUCCUGUGCCACCAGGGAGGCCUUGUGUACCAAACAGGUAUACUAGGUAACUUGAUGUUUUUUAUCAAGCAGAGUUCAUGUUUCAAUGCAUUGUCAUUUUUGUGUGUUAUUGGAUAUGUGCACAAUAUUCCUGUAACUUAAACAUAAAACUGCAAUGGUGUUAGGCUAAGUCCCUACCACUUAGCAAAAAUAUUUUCCAACCUGAUUGUUUAAUGACCUUUGUUAAGAUUUGUUUCUCAGAAACCUCACUUCGUUUGUUAGUAUAUGCUAGUUUUUAAUAGUCUGCCCUAAGAACGUAACAUUUUGCAUAAAUGACAACAUGUCCUCUUUCCUUAAGCAUGAGUUAAGUAGUUCAUGGCAUGAAAUACAUCAUUCUUUUUGAAAAGAUCCUCUUAUCAGUGGGCACUUAGAUUCUUGUUGCCAUGUAAACAAAGCUGCAAUAAACAAAGUAGAGCAUAAAUUUUUUUUUUUUUUGAGUUGAUGGUUUCAUGUUCUUUGGAUAGAUGCCCAAGAGAGGUUGCUGGGUCAUAGAGCAUUUCCAUUUGUAGUUUUUCAUGAUAAUUCCAGAUCGCCUUGGAAAAUGGUUGCACCAAUUUUCAUUCUCACCUCCGGUGUCCAUUCUCACCUACUGUGUCAUAUGGUCUUGUUUCUCUGCAUCCUCUCCAGUACUUGUUGGGGGUCUUUUUAAUAUGUGCCAUUCUCACAGGAGUGAGAUACCUUAUUGUGAACUCAUUUCUUUAAAAUUGGUGCUUUCAUAGGCAAAAAGUGGCAUGAGUGCUGUAUUCUGCAUCUGUUCUAAACUUCCAGGUUGGUCCUGCCACUUAGCAAAAAAUUUUUUCGACCUCUGUUUAAUGACCUUUGUUAGAUUUGUUUCUCCUUCAAAGUGUCCUGUUUUGGUACUCCCAGAGGCUAGCACUGCCUGCUUCCUUCCCUGUUCUCUGGUCGGGGCCCUCUCUGCACUUUAGUCAUUGGCCCAAAACUUUAGGAUAAGUCCCAUUGAAAUGAAUUUGUUCUCUAAAUGUGGUGGAUUAAAAUAGAUAAUAGGUCUCAUUAAGAUAAUUAAAAUC